AUACGUAGGGGACAAGCGUUAUCCGGAUUUACUGGGCGUAAAGGGCGUGUAGGCGGUUUUGCAAGUCAGAAGUGAAAUUCCAGGGCUUAACUUGGGCGCUGCUUUUGAAACUGAUUUACUUGAGGGCUGGAGAGGCUAGUGGAAUUCCUAGGUAAGGGGUAAAAUGCGCAGAUAUUAGGAGGAAAACCGGUGGCGAAGGCGGCUAUCUGGACAGUAACUGACGCUGAGGCGCGAAAGCACGGGGAGCAAACAGGAUUAGAUACCCUGGUAGUCCGUGCCGUAAACGAUGAAUACUAGGUGUAGGGGGUAUCGACUCCCUCUGUGCCGCAGUUAACACAUUAAGUAUUCCACCUGGGGAGUACGGCCGCAAGGUUGAAACUCAAAGGAAUUGACGGGG
RNAcentral lists this ribosomal RNA (397 nucleotides) under uncultured bacterium. Its description in RNAcentral is "partial 16S ribosomal RNA". It matches the Rfam family "Bacterial small subunit ribosomal RNA", at positions 523 to 918 of the family's 1533-position model. The record is from RNAcentral.